GCGAGUAAGACCCUGCCCUAGUGGCUCGGUCAGUCCCAUCAUAUACACCUUUAUUCGUGAACUCGUGGUUCAGCUGGACCGAUGAAAGCUUUGGCGACUAGCCGUCCGUCGGUUCCGCUCUUUAUACCCUUUAUGUGAAGUCAAUGGAAAUAUGAUAAUCUAAUA
This 165-nucleotide unclassified non-coding RNA is filed under the name soil metagenome. Its description in RNAcentral is "partial internal transcribed spacer 1". The record is from RNAcentral.